UUCAGUAAUUCUUUGAGGUUAUUUCUUUUUCUGACGGAAUGAGUGCUCUGAUAUAUAAUUUUCCCUUUUUGGUUUUUAUAUUUUCUUACAGACUCAUCUCAAAAACUCUCUCCCCUACAAGAACUGGACUGAAUUUCCACCUCAUGUUUAGAGGACAACUGGUUUAGCCAACUUAUUGUCACAUUUUAUUCUCCUCCAGGCACUGGAGAUAUAUACAUGCUGAAGAAAAUGGACAAGGGACAAGCACAGUGUACUCUGGGACUCAAUGGAGAAUCAUCUAACCCAGUCUUGACAGCUCAGAGAGGCUAUCCCAGAGGAGCUGGCUGGUACAGGGAUCCAAACCCUUGACCUUGGUGUUAUAAGGCUGUGCUCCAACCAACCGAGCCAACCAGCCAGACCCAUAAUUUAGAUACCAGGAAACUCAGAAGGUUGAAGAAACUCGGCCUAAGGCUCAGCAGCUACCGUAGUGGUCAAAUCACUGGGGCUGCCUUGCUCAUGGAGAUCAUGUCUUUGCUGACCUCUUUCUUGUGGGAAACUGCUCCACAAUCCCUGCGUCCAACAUUUGGUCUGAUUGAAAGAUGCCUCGUUCUGUGUGACCUCAAUCUCCUGGGCUACACUGACUGAACUUGGAGUGGCCACCUGACUGAAGCUGGACUAAUCAUAAUAACCCUCCUUAUCCAACACUUGAAUUCAGGAGAAGAGCAUGGACAAUUAGAAUUGUUUCAUUCUUUCUUUUUUUUUUUUUAACUUGGACAAGAAGAAGGAUGAAGGAAGCUGAGGGAGGUGACAUAAGGAAAACUUCCUCUUUGCUGGUUGGGAAGCCAUUCCUAUGGGAGCCAGAGGUCACUGCAAGUUGCUGUGGUAGGCACAUUGAGAGCUCUGGUCCGAGAGAAGGAAGCUGACAUACAGACAGAAACAGCGAUGAAAGGGAGGAACCUAGCAGCACUCAUAUCCCUGGCUCAGUUGUCCUUGACGACAUCUGUGUUUUUAUGCUUCUGUCGAUUUUGUUUCCUGACCC
This is a long non-coding RNA of Galeopterus variegatus (Sunda flying lemur), 1018 nucleotides long. RefSeq lists it as uncharacterized. The transcript has 4 exons. NCBI's taxonomy places the organism in Eukaryota, Metazoa, Chordata, Mammalia, Dermoptera, Cynocephalidae. The record is from RefSeq and is a predicted model, not a curated record.